RNAcentral lists this ribosomal RNA (433 nucleotides) under uncultured bacterium. Its description in RNAcentral is "partial 16S ribosomal RNA". It matches the Rfam family "Bacterial small subunit ribosomal RNA", at positions 29 to 507 of the family's 1533-position model. The record is from RNAcentral.
AACGAACGCUGGCGGCAGGCUUAACACAUGCAAGUCGAGCGAGACCUUCGGGUCUAGCGGCGGACGGGUGAGUAACGCGUGGGAACGUGCCCUUCUCUACGGAAUAGCCCCGGGAAACUGGGAGUAAUACCGUAUACGCCCUUUGGGGGAAAGAUUUAUCGGAGAAGGAUCGGCCCGCGUUGGAUUAGGUAGUUGGUGGGGUAAUGGCCCACCAAGCCGACGAUCCAUAGCUGGUUUGAGAGGAUGAUCAGCCACACUGGGACUGAGACACGGCCCAGACUCCUACGGGAGGCAGCAGUGGGGAAUCUUAGACAAUGGGGGCAAGCCUGAUCUAGCCAUGCCGCGUGAGUGAUGAAGGCCUUAGGGUUGUAAAGCUCUUUCAGCUGGGAAGAUAAUGACGGUACCCGCAGAAGAAGCCCCGGCUAACUCCGUG